ACGCUCGACACCUACGGAGGCAGCAGUGGGGAAUAUUGCACAAUGGGGGAAACCCUGAUGCAGCGACGCCGCGUGAAGGAAGAAGUAUCUCGGUAUGUAAACUUCUAUCAGCAGGGAAGAAAAUGACGGUACCUGACUAAGAAGCCCCGGCUAACUACGUGCAAGCAGCCGCGGUAAUCUGAGCGGGCUGGCAAGGC
RNAcentral lists this ribosomal RNA (197 nucleotides) under uncultured bacterium. RNAcentral's name for it is "partial 16S ribosomal RNA". It matches the Rfam family "Bacterial small subunit ribosomal RNA", at positions 328 to 539 of the family's 1533-position model. The record is from RNAcentral.